CAAUAUUCAUUGAAGAUUCAUCCAUGUCUUCAAUGGCAUGAUAGUGCAUUUCUUUCUAUUGAUGCAUAGUGUUCCAUUGUAUGGAUGUACCACAGUUAAUUUCUUCAUUCACCUUUUGACAGAUAUGAUGACUACUUCCAGUUUUUGAUGAGUAUGAACAGAACUCCCAUGACCAUUCACGUGCAGGUGUGCAAGCUUUUGUAUAGGAAGAAAUUUUCAAGUCAAUUGGGUAAAUACUCAGAAACACAAAUGAUGAGGGAUAAGAAACAAUCUUAUUAACCAAGUAAGUGAAGACCCAGUUCCUUUGCACCCCCAACCUCCUCAAAAUGAUGGAGUUGGCUACGAGAGGAACCUGAGGUGGAGACAUCCUCUCACACAGAAGACUCAACAUAGAAGAAUAGAGGAAGGAAGAGGAGCUGCACAAAUAGACAGUCAGAGGAGGUACGUGGGCAGGAAAGAGAGCGAGCCAUGCACAGCCGUUUGACUGUGAACCAUCCGCGCUUCCUCCUCACACCACAGGCUCUCUUUAGGCACUACUUUUCUCCCACGUG
Molecule: long non-coding RNA, 551 nt
Filed under: Equus asinus (donkey)
Lineage: Eukaryota; Metazoa; Chordata; Mammalia; Perissodactyla; Equidae
Description: lncRNA (ENSEASG00005029267.1)
Source: RNAcentral